Molecule: long non-coding RNA, 1598 nt
Filed under: Mus musculus (house mouse)
Lineage: Eukaryota; Metazoa; Chordata; Mammalia; Rodentia; Muridae
Description: predicted gene, 41625
Source: RNAcentral
AGAGCAGGCUGAACACAUUGCAGCAACCCAGAGGCAGCUCUGAGCCUUCUAUCAAUGGAGAUGUUAGAGCCACAACCCUCUCCACAGGCUCUGGACUUUGUGGCAACAUUGUAACUAGGUAACAUUUACGCAGCUGGGAGUGCUGAUCAACCAGCCAGCGCCAACUUCCUGUGCCCCCAGAGAAAUGAUCAAACUCCCUGGUUACUCUUUACUGUCAACGUGACACGAUCAAGAAUCACCUCAGGAGAGACAUUGACGGAAGAACUGUUUAGAUCGGGUUGGCCUGACUGAUGAUUGACGUGGAAAGCCUAACCCACAUUGUAGAAAAUCAACCUGAGGCACACAAGAAAGGUAGGUUGAGCACAAGUUGGGGAGCAAACCAGUAAGUGGAAUUUCUCCAUGGUUUCUGCUUCAAGUUCCUUCUCUGCUUGAGUUUCUGCCUUAGAAAGUGUAAGCCAAAUAAACCUCAAGUUGCUUUUGGUCAUGGUAUUCAUCACAGUAACAGAAAACAAACUAGAGAAUGAAAUAUACAAGAACCUGGCACACAAGAGAGGCUAGAUAACUGUAGGGAGUUUUAUCCGUGAUCCACUAUGGUUCUAACACAUCGUUAUUAUUUUUCCCUUUUUAAAGAACAAUAUAUCAAAAGCGGGCUUUAAAAGACUUAAGGAUGUCUAGGUUGUAUUAGUAACUCUUGUGUGAGUGUGAUCAGAACGCCUGAUGAGGGAAGAUUGGUUUUGGCUCAUGGGCUCCGUCUACCAUGGUGGAGAACACUUGGCACAGUAGUGGUCUAGGUCCAGGCAGUGGAAGCACGUGCUGGAAGCUGCUCACAUCAUAGCUGACUAGGGAGCCGAGAGAGUGACAGGAAUCAGGACCCAGGAGAACUCUUUGAAGCCCAACCCCCAGUGAGCUGCUGCAGCCAGCUGGGGCCACCCUUUCCUAAAAGUUUUACAGCUCCCCCAGUAACACCAUAGUCUGGGGAGCAUGGGCUCAAGACAUGAACCUGUGGGGACAAUUCAGAUCCAAACCAUAACCAAUACGUUCUAAUUCAUGCACAGACCAUUGACAGUUCCCAAGAGCUGUCCUUCCUUCCUGAUAUCUGUCACCUUCAGAUAAAGGGCCAUGGCUAAAUCUACGAACAGUAAGGGAGACCUUCUUUCUCUUCCACUUUUCUCCUUUGCGUCAAGGGAGUCCACAAACAUACUGUGAACCCAAAUGAACGUGAAAUCUAAUAGGGUUUGGCUCCUGGGUGGAAUUAGACUAUUUUUAGAUGAACUAUUUAGAUGACUAUUUUUAAUAUUGUCCCCACCUGCUUUGCGUUCAUAUUUUCAAUGCUUCCCCGACGCUCCCAUUUGUCAAUAUUCUGUUUUAUUUCAUUCCAAGCUUCUGUUGAAAGUGUGACGUGAACAUGCAGUGCCUUUGGAGUCUUUUGUGUGACCAAUUUCUGGCCACAGGCCAACUCACUUAUUGGUGAAUCUGUUAAGGAUUUUAGCUUGCUAAUUAACUGUGCCAAACUUCCUGUUUUAAACAGCUCUCUUGUAUGCUACCCCCAAAGUAAGAUCAGAUGGGUUGGCCAGUGCUCCAUAAAGACGUCAAAACUU